Molecule: long non-coding RNA, 149 nt
Organism: Hyposmocoma kahamanoa
Lineage: Eukaryota; Metazoa; Arthropoda; Insecta; Lepidoptera; Cosmopterigidae
Exons: 3
Source: RefSeq, a predicted model, not a curated record
AUGCCUACAUUUCGUGGUACCUCUAAAUCUAAAGUGAAUUCUCUGAAAGCGAUCAAUCACCGCAAAUAUAAUGAUAAACCGCAUAGCAAGAAAAUUCUAAAAGGAGAAGAUGAACAUGUUACAUGGACUUUGAAUCCGAAAUAUCCUAA